UACGAAGGGGGCUAGCGUUGUUCGGAAUUACUGGGCGUAAAGCGUGCGCAGGCGGCUUUGCAAGACAGAUGUGAAAUCCCCGGGCUUAACCUGGGAACUGCAUUUGUGACUGCAUGGCUGGAGUGCGGCAGAGGGGGAUGGAAUUCCGGCGUGUAGCAGUGAAAUGCGUAGAUAUGCGGAGGAACACCGAUGGCGAAGGCAAUCCCCUGGGCCUGCACUGACGCUCAUGCACGAAAGCGUGGGAGCAAACAGG
RNAcentral lists this ribosomal RNA (253 nucleotides) under uncultured bacterium. RNAcentral describes it as "partial 16S ribosomal RNA". It matches the Rfam family "Bacterial small subunit ribosomal RNA", at positions 524 to 776 of the family's 1533-position model. The record is from RNAcentral.